This 496-nucleotide ribosomal RNA is filed under the name uncultured bacterium. RNAcentral's name for it is "partial 16S ribosomal RNA". It matches the Rfam family "Bacterial small subunit ribosomal RNA", at positions 29 to 507 of the family's 1533-position model. The record is from RNAcentral.
AUGAACGCUGGCGGCGUGCCUAAUACAUGCAAGUCGAGCGAACAGAUGAGGAGCUUGCUCCUCUGACGUUAGCGGCGGACGGGUGAGUAACACGUGGAUAACCUACCUAUAAGACUGGGAUAACUUCGGGAAACCGGAGCUAAUACCGGAUAAUAUAUUGAACCGCAUGGUUCAAUAGUGAAAGACGGUUUUGCUGUCACUUAUAGAUGGAUCCGCGCCGCAUUAGCUAGUUGGUAAGGUAACGGCUUACCAAGGCAACGAUGCGUAGCCGACCUGAGAGGGUGAUCGGCCACACUGGAACUGAGACACGGUCCAGACUCCUACGGGAGGCAGCAGUAGGGAAUCUUCCGCAAUAGGCGAAAGCCUGACGGAGCAACGCCGCGUGAGUGAUGAAGGUCUUCGGAUCGUAAAACUCUGUUAUUAGGGAAGAACAAAUGUGUAAGUAACUAUGCACGUCUUGACGGUACCUAAUCAGAAAGCCACGGCUAACUACGUG